RNAcentral lists this ribosomal RNA (377 nucleotides) under uncultured bacterium. Its description in RNAcentral is "bacterial SSU rRNA". It matches the Rfam family "Bacterial small subunit ribosomal RNA", at positions 523 to 898 of the family's 1533-position model. The record is from RNAcentral.
AUACGUAGGGGGCAAGCGUUAUCCGGAUUUACUGGGUGUAAAGGGAGCGCAGGUGGUGCGUCAAGUCAGAUGUGAAAGCCCGAGGCUCAACUUCGGGACUGCAUUUGAAACUGGCGUGCUGGAGUGCAGGAGAGGUAAGUGGAAUUCCUAGUGUAGCGGUGAAAUGCGUAGAUAUUAGGAGGAACACCAGUGGCGAAGGCGGCUUACUGGACUGUAACUGACACUGAGGCUCGAAAGCGUGGGGAGCAAACAGGAUUAGAUACCCUGGUAGUCCACGCCAUAAACGAUGAAUACUAGGUGUCGGGGGCCAAAAGGCCCCCGGUGCCGCAGCCAACGCAAUAAGUAUUCCACCUGGGGAGUACGUUCGCAAGAAUGAA